AAUUCCCUGCUUUGUGCGGCAGAUAAGCAGUUAUUUAAUCCAACACUUUUUGAUUUGGGAAUCCGGAUCUCGGAUGGCGGACUGCAGACCUCCCGACGCUUCGGCGUUGGACGAAGGGAGCGAGAACCCACCCGGAGGAUACCCACCUGUCUUCGUACGGGUUUCAUUAAGGCUUAUCACCGGCAACGCGGGGAUUAU
Molecule: non-coding RNA, 198 nt
Filed under: Provencibacterium sp.
Lineage: Bacteria; Bacillati; Bacillota; Clostridia; Eubacteriales; Oscillospiraceae
Description: 6S RNA
Rfam family: 6S / SsrS RNA
About the family: E. coli 6S RNA was the first non coding RNA to be sequenced, but its function was unknown until recently. It consists of 184 nucleotides that fold into an extended hairpin structure with a large single-stranded internal bulge. The 6S RNA specifically associates with RNA polymerase holoenzyme containing the sigma70 specificity factor.
Source: RNAcentral